CAACCCUCAAACCCCCGGGUUUGGUGUUGGGGAUCGGAUUGCCUAGUCAAUCCGUCUCCGAAAUCUAGUGGCGGUCUCGCUGCAGCCUCCAUUGCGUAGUAGCUAACACCUCGCAACUGGAACGCGGCGCGGCCAUGCCGUUAAACACCCAACUUCUGAA
Molecule: unclassified non-coding RNA, 160 nt
Filed under: uncultured Clavicipitaceae
Lineage: Eukaryota; Fungi; Ascomycota; Sordariomycetes; Hypocreales; Clavicipitaceae
Description: sequence contains ITS2
Source: RNAcentral